GACGAACGCUGGCGGCGUGCCUAAUACAUGCAAGUAGAACGCUGAAGGAGGAGCUUGCUUCUCUGGAUGAGUUGCGAACGGGUGAGUAACGCGUAGGUAACCUGCCUGGUAGCGGGGGAUAACUAUUGGAAACGAUAGCUAAUACCGCAUAACAGUAGAUAUCGCAUGAUAUCUACUUGAAAGGUGCAAUUGCAUCACUACCAGAUGGACCUGCGUUGUAUUAGCUAGUUGGUGAGGUAACGGCUCACCAAGGCGACGAUACAUAGCCGACCUGAGAGGGGGAUCGGCCACACGGGGACUGAGACACGGCCCAGACUCCUACGGGAGGCAGCAGUAGGGAAUGUGCGACAAUGGACGGAAGUCUGACCGAGCAACGCCGCGGGAGGGAAGAAGGUUUUCGGAUCGUAAAGCUCUGUUGUAAGGGAAGAACGGGUGUGAGAGUGGAAAGUUCACACUGUGAGGGUAUUUUACAAGAAAGGGACGGCAAACUACGG
RNAcentral lists this ribosomal RNA (494 nucleotides) under uncultured bacterium. RNAcentral's name for it is "partial 16S ribosomal RNA". It matches the Rfam family "Bacterial small subunit ribosomal RNA", at positions 28 to 506 of the family's 1533-position model. The record is from RNAcentral.